Molecule: small nuclear RNA, 115 nt
Organism: Hemibagrus wyckioides
Lineage: Eukaryota; Metazoa; Chordata; Actinopteri; Siluriformes; Bagridae
Product: U5 spliceosomal RNA
Exons: 1
Source: RefSeq, a predicted model, not a curated record
UAGCUCUGGCUUCUCUUCAGUCAUGCAUAAAUCUUUCGCACUUUAUUAAAGAUUUCUGUGGUGAGGAAGAUCAAUGAGUUUGAUGUAUUUUUAUGAGCUUUGCUCUGGCAAAGCU